UACGUAGGGGGCAAGCGUUAUUCGGAAUUAUUGGGUCGUAAAGGGCGCGUAGGCGGCUUGUCAAGUCAAAGGUGAACCCCUCGGCUCAAGCUGAGGAACGGCCUUUGAAACUAGCGAGCUUGAGUCCGGGAGGGGUAGCGGAAUUCCCAGUGUAGCGGUGAAAUGCGUAGAUAUUGGGAGGAACACCAGCGGCGAAGGCGGCGCUCUGGGCCGGAACUGACGCUGAGGAGCGAAAGCGUGGGGAGCAAACAGG
RNAcentral lists this ribosomal RNA (253 nucleotides) under uncultured bacterium. Its description in RNAcentral is "partial 16S ribosomal RNA". It matches the Rfam family "Bacterial small subunit ribosomal RNA", at positions 524 to 776 of the family's 1533-position model. The record is from RNAcentral.